RNAcentral lists this ribosomal RNA (261 nucleotides) under uncultured Glomeromycotina. Its description in RNAcentral is "partial 18S ribosomal RNA". It matches the Rfam family "Eukaryotic small subunit ribosomal RNA", at positions 624 to 886 of the family's 1831-position model. The record is from RNAcentral. Lineage: Eukaryota; Fungi; Glomeromycota.
AAGCUCGUAGUUGAAUUUCGGAUCCGGCUGUUGUUUGUCGGCCGCAUAGGUCUGUACUCUUCUGGCCGGAUCUUUCCUUCUGGAGAACCAGCAUGCCACUUACUUGGUGUGCUGGUGAUCCAGGACUUUUACCUUGAAAAAAUUAGAGUGUUUAAAGCAGGCAUACGCUUGAAUACAUUAGCAUGGAAUAAUAGAAUAGGACAUCGCAUUCUAUUUUGUUGGUUUCUAGGAUCGACGUAAUGAUUAAUAGGGAUAGUUGGG